RNAcentral lists this ribosomal RNA (422 nucleotides) under uncultured bacterium. Its description in RNAcentral is "bacterial SSU rRNA". It matches the Rfam family "Bacterial small subunit ribosomal RNA", at positions 356 to 771 of the family's 1533-position model. The record is from RNAcentral.
GGGGAAUAUUGGACAAUGGGCGCAAGCCUGAUCCAGCCAUGCCGCGUGUGUGAAGAAGGCCUUCGGGUUGUAAAGCACUUUCAGCGGGGAGGAAGGGGUGUGUGUUAAUAGCACAUAUUCUUGACGUUACCCGCAGAAGAAGCACCGGCUAACUCCGUGCCAGCAGCCGCGGUAAUACGGGGGGGCAAGCGUUGUUCGGAAUUACUGGGCGUAAAGGGCGUGUAGGCGGCCCGUUAAGACAGGUGUGAAAUUCCUGGGCUCAACCCAGGACGUGCGCCUGUGACUGGCGGGCUUGAGUCCGGGAGAGGAUGGUGGAACUCCCAGUGUAGAGGUGAAAUUCGUAGAUAUUGGGAGGAACACCCGUGGCGAAGGCGGCCAUCUGGACCGGUACUGACGCUAAGGCGCGACAGCGUGGGGAGCAA